This 433-nucleotide ribosomal RNA is filed under the name uncultured bacterium. RNAcentral describes it as "partial 16S ribosomal RNA". It matches the Rfam family "Bacterial small subunit ribosomal RNA", at positions 29 to 507 of the family's 1533-position model. The record is from RNAcentral.
AACGAACGCUGGCGGCAGGCCUAACACAUGCAAGUCGAGCGAGGACUUCGGUCCUAGCGGCGGACGGGUGAGUAACGCGUGGGAACGUGCCCUUUGCCUCGGAAUAGCCCUGGGAAACUGGGAGUAAUACCGGAUGAGCCCUUUGGGGGAAAGAUUUAUCGGCGAAGGAUCGGCCCGCGUUGGAUUAGGUAGUUGGUGGGGUAAUGGCCUACCAAGCCGACGAUCCAUAGCUGGUUUGAGAGGAUGAUCAGCCACACUGGGACUGAGACACGGCCCAGACUCCUACGGGAAGCAGCAGUGGGGAAUCUUAGACAAUGGGGGAAACCCUGAUCUAGCCAUGCCGCGUGAGCGAUGAAGGCCUUAGGGUUGUAAAGCUCUUUCAGCUGGGAAGAUAAUGACGGUACCAGCAGAAGAAGCCCCGGCUAACUCCGUG